Molecule: long non-coding RNA, 422 nt
Filed under: Fukomys damarensis (Damara mole-rat)
Lineage: Eukaryota; Metazoa; Chordata; Mammalia; Rodentia; Bathyergidae
Description: lncRNA (ENSFDAG00000021968.1)
Source: RNAcentral
CACAUCGCUUACAUUCAACAGUGUAUACAGAGAUGACACUGCUAAAUAGUUCCAUACAGAUGAAUGGAAAACUGACUCAGGUGUAAGAAGGGAGAGAGGAAGAAACCUCAGACAGACUCCUGGAGCCUUCUCUAGUGUGAAGCUUCACAUAAGGCUGUGGCAGGUGGUUGUUUCUAGGUCAGCAGCUUCUUGUGCUCCGGAGAGGACUGCCAAUCAGCACCAGCAGGCCCAGCUCUCAGUCGCCCCGGUAUGGAACAAUCCUGCCCAUCUCUGUCUUUUCCGUGCUCUAGGAAAAUCAUUCUUUCCAUCCCACCCCAUUUCCAUUCCUCGUUGGAGGGAAGAUGUGCUAUUUUCUGCUUGCUCCUCCAGAUCUACUUUUCUCCUUUCUGCAGCUUUUCCUUUUCCCAAGGACACUGACCGAA